Molecule: RNA transcript, 2538 nt
Organism: Zingiber officinale
Lineage: Eukaryota; Viridiplantae; Streptophyta; Magnoliopsida; Zingiberales; Zingiberaceae
Gene name: transcription factor bHLH76-like
Exons: 10
Source: RefSeq, a predicted model, not a curated record
UUUCCUUGGAAUAAAGAGAACGGUGGCGAUGGUGCUUCUUCCUCUGCCCCCCUUCGCUCGUAGAUCGCACUGGGCGGUGGUCAAUCAAUGAUGAUUCAACCUCUCUCCUUCUCUCUGAUGCGGCAGCGUUGAGGUAUAAAUGCAGCAAUCAUCUCUCCUCUCUCUCCUCAUCUCCUCCUCCUCCCUCACGGGCACCUCCUUUGUUGCACCUGUACCUCCCUCGGCGCGAUAUUAGCCUGCGAGCGCAGAAGAAGACACGGAGGGGGGAAAAGGCCAAAUUGGAGCGAGCUCGAUUUGUCCGGAAGCAUUCUAGGGCAAAAGCCGCGUUUUUGACGGAGGCGGGGAGAUUAAAGGUGGGGGAAUAUCUCGAGCGGGCAUCUUCGCUUUCCGGAUUCUGGGUCGGGGCACUCGAGUAGGGGAAAAGGUGCGAUCUUUGAUGCGAUGGCUUGAGUUCUGCUGCUGUUCCCGUCUUGCUCGCUGAUAGAGUGAUAGUUUAACUCGCCUCUCAUCUAUAUAGAUGUCCUCUUCUAGAUUGAAAGGAUCUGAAGUGGAAGAUAAAGGUAUAAUCUUGUUCUUGUUUCCAGGACAAAGUAAGGAUAAAUCGUUUACUGUAGCCGUGUCUGAAGAUCCACUGCCAAGGUUGGAGACAUCGAUCGACAUGAAUGAGAACAAGUUUGUGUUGAAUAGCCAUCAUGAUGGCGGUGAAUGGCAAUUUAACACCCCUGCGAUGAGCAUGGUGCCGCUGCCGCUGAGCGCCCCUUCUCUUGCAGGCGGCCUCAUGAAUCAGAACACUCGAUCGUCAUAUCUUUCGACUCCAAUGGUGGAGGUCUUUAGCCCUGGUCAAUGGAACCACCACCCUACUAGUUCACCAAACAUGGCCCUUGGAGAAAGCAAUUUCGCAAGCACGAGCUCCAUCAACAGCAUACCAGUUGGAAAACCAGUAGCAAUAUCACCCAGAGGGAUGCUAGUAUCGACUGCACCGAGAAUUUUCCCCACCAGCCUGCCUCAUUUCCCUGUUGAUUCAGCUUUUGUCGAGAGGGCAGCAAGGUUCUCAUGUUUUGGUAGUGGUAAUUUUAGCGGCAUAAACUUCUUCAGUUCGUCUCCAGCAAUGGCUCCUUCAAACAAUGAAGGCAUUGGGGAUCAGGUUCAGAAGGAUGAAUUGCUGCAAGUGGAUCAUGAAUCGCUUAAUGGAAGCACAAUGAAAAACCAAGGAGACCAAAACUCUCAGAUCGGCAAUGGUGAAUCACGUGUGGUGAUUUUUCCUGAAGAUGGCCUAGAAGGAAAUACUGGUUCAACUGAUGCAGCUUUAAAUUCAUCGUCUAGUGACCGUGGAGUGAAUAAGAGGAGAAAAACCGUACCGGAUAUUGAAAGGGAUCCAGUGCAAGGAGGCCGGCAAUCUUCCUCAGAAACCACAAAGGAGAACAUUGAGAAUAAACAAAAAGUAGAGCAGAUCAAUUCUAAACAAAUCGAAAAGAAUGGGAAAGAUAACUCGGAAUUUGUCAAGGAGGGCUACGUACAUGUUAGAGCACGGCGUGGACAAGCAACUAACAGUCACAGCCUUGCAGAAAGAGUAAGGAGGGAAAAAAUAAGUGAAAGGAUGAAGUAUCUUCAAGAACUCGUGCCGGGUUGUAGCAAGGUCACCGGAAAGGCAGUUAUGCUGGAUGAAAUCAUAAACUAUGUUCAGUCGCUCCAAAGGCAGGUAGAGUUUCUCUCGAUGAAGCUUGCAGCUGUGAAUCCACAACUAGACUUCGGCAUAGAAGGCCUUCUUGCUAAAAAUCUUCUACGUACACACGGUAGUUCCUCAUCGGCAACAGGAUUCUCGCCGGAGAUGAUAUAUCCACAAGCAUAUCCAUCUCAGCACAAUUUGGUACACACUGGAAUUUCUGCAAUGGCUAGCCAUUCAGACACAUUUAGGAGAGCAAUAAGUACACAAUCGACAGCAAGUGGUUAUAAAGAAUCUCCGCUGCAGGUUCAACCGAUGCACAUCCCUUGGAAUGAAGAGCUCAUCACACAAAUGGCAUACGGUGCCAAUCCUUCCAAUCCGCAGAACAUGCAUAGUAAAGCUGAUGACUUUGCCAUAUAGAACGAUCACUAUUCAUGCGGUGACGCUCAGUCCCUAUGCAUCCUAGCUUCCUACCAAGUGGUUACCUAGAUGCUCAAGUUCAAUAAAAUUCCCUGUGCAUAUAUAUAUCUUCCAAUAUAUGCGGAACUGUUGUAUGGCUUGUAGGGUUUGAUCAUCUGGAUAAGAGGUAAUAGGAGAUGGAAUGAAGCACGGCGAGUCGUGUGUGUAUUCACUAUUAAAUCGUAAGGGGGCUCGCGAAGGAGAUCCGACCAAGAUCUGCUGGUGGUUGGCCUUGGACCACCAUGAACAUAAUUGCCUCCAAAAAGACUCUUUAAUAUCUGUUAUUGGUGACUUUUGCUCAGUCUUUUGGUUAAGAAACAAGUGAUAGGUUUGUUGUUAAUUGAGUUGGACCAUCAGUAGUUGCUGUUGCUGCUGUUCUCAGUUUUGAGUGCAUGCAAUUAUUUCUUCUCUUACAA